GGACUAGAUGUUAGGGUACAUACCCACAAGGACGUGGGGGAUGCUUAUGUUAGAGAUAAGAGACUUAGUCUUGCUGUCCUUGAAAUUGGCUGGAUUAUGCAUGGAUAUGCAACACCAUUUAGCAGCUUUUUUUUUUACUACUGUAAAGUUUUCAUCAUUACAUACUCUAAUGCUUAUUAAGCCUUAAAAAGAAAUUCCUCUCUUGUUACCAAAUACUUGGCCUUCUUGAUCCUAUUAUUUGCUACCGAAUUCAUAUCUAGACCUAGUGUAGCUUCUAAAUUCUUUUUGUGUAAUUAUUGUUGAUUGUCAUCCAGACUCUAAUUUUGAUAUUGCAACCAAACAACUAAAAAAUAUUUCAUUUGUAAGAAAAUAUUUUUGGCUAAACAGUUAUCUUCUGCCAAACAAACAGAGCCCUAAUCUUAGGAUAAAUUCCUGAGACUGGUUUGUUAAAAUUAUUAUUGCUAUAUAUCACCCUUUGAUCCUCGUUUCAGAUACCUAGAUUAAGUGUUCUAUGCACGAACCUGAGAGAUUUUACAUUUCACAUAACAAACUAAAUGAGAUUUAAUGUGUAUUCCCACUUCUAAUGUUGCUAUUAAGGAACAUUUGAGUUGAUUUUUCUCGCUGGAGAUAUAAGCUAGUUUGAUUUCAGAAAUAUAUCUCUUCAAAUUUUGUUCAAGAGCAUUGUAUGACCGGAUUUUUCCAUAACUUAAUUUUUAGCAAGAAUUAGUGUUUGAGUUAAGCCAUCCUUCCAAGAAAAACAUAUAAUGGUUCACCUUCUAAAACCCUUCAAGCCUAGAACUAGAGGUUAUAACAAAAACUACUGAUAAAUAGAAAUAAUUCUCAAAUAUACCUUAUCUUCGUGAGAAAACAAUUAUGAGCUUCUCAUUUGACAAAGACUAAAAAAGUGAGAGCUGUUGCUGUGAUACAGUGAAAAGAAAAUUACUUCCUGAUAUUUCUGACACUUUAUUGAUAAUUAAUUCAGUUUCUGUUUUCUGAUCACUAAGGCUUACUUACCGGUUUCUUAUUUAUUACUAAAAUCAUAGAUGGAUGUAGUAAAACACAGAUUUUAGUUUUACUGGAUUGGUGAUCUGUUUGUUCAUCAACUUCAACUUAUAAUUGGUAGGAUAAAAGGUAAAGAUAGGAAUUUAACUUCGAUAUGUAUUUCAUUUUCUCAUCUACUUCAACUUUAAAUAGCAGAAUAAAUGUACUUCAUUUACUGAGUAAAACUAAUAUUUAAGCUCUGGUUGUUUUUGACGGGAAAAAGGAGUGUUGAGAAGUUCCAAACUCCUUUUUUUAAGAGUUCUUAAAGUACAUCAGAGGAGGAAUGGUAUAUAUAUAUAUAUGUAUGCUCAAUAAGAUGGCAGAUUC
This 1368-nucleotide unclassified non-coding RNA is filed under the name Hevea brasiliensis (rubber tree). The record is from RNAcentral. Lineage: Eukaryota; Viridiplantae; Streptophyta; Magnoliopsida; Malpighiales; Euphorbiaceae.